AACGCGAAGAACCUUACCUACCCUUGACAUACAGCGAAUUUUGCAGAGAUGCAGAAGUGCCUUCGGGAACGCUGAUACAGGUGCUGCAUGGCUGUCGUCAGCUCGUGUCGUGAGAUGUUGGGUUAAGUCCCGUAACGAGCGCAACCCUUAUCCUUAGUUGCCAGCACGUAAAGGUGGGAACUCUAAGGAGACUGCCGGUGACAAACCGGAGGAAGGCGGGGACGACGUCAAGUCAUCAUGGCCCUUACGGGUAGGGCUACACACGUGCUACAAUGGCCGGUACAGAGGGAAGCGAAGCGGUGACGUGGAGCAAAACCUAAAAAGCCGGUCGUAGUCCGGAUUGAAGUCUGCAACUCGACUUCAUGAAGUCGGAAUCGCUAGUAAUCGCGAAUCAGCAUGUCGCGGUGAAUACGUUCCCGGGCCUUGUACACACCGACGCGUA
RNAcentral lists this ribosomal RNA (442 nucleotides) under uncultured bacterium. RNAcentral's name for it is "bacterial SSU rRNA". It matches the Rfam family "Bacterial small subunit ribosomal RNA", at positions 958 to 1399 of the family's 1533-position model. The record is from RNAcentral.